AUAAAGUUGGCAGAAAUAUGUGUGUAAUUUAGGGUUAUUUAAUAAGGUUAGUUCCUUACUUUAUA
RNAcentral lists this transfer RNA (65 nucleotides) under Acanthosepion esculentum (golden cuttlefish). Its description in RNAcentral is "Sepia esculenta (golden cuttlefish) tRNA-Leu(UAG)". Lineage: Eukaryota; Metazoa; Mollusca; Cephalopoda; Sepiida; Sepiidae. The record is from RNAcentral.